Non-coding RNA from Canis lupus familiaris (dog), 709 nucleotides. The record is from the annotation of a RefSeq genome assembly. Lineage: Eukaryota; Metazoa; Chordata; Mammalia; Carnivora; Canidae.
UGAGGUGUGAUUGCUGCCCUGUGAUUCUAGUGGAACAGAUUGAGUGUAAGAACAGAGUUUCUCUAGACCCGGACUCUACACUCUGUAGAGUAGGGGUUAAGGCACCUCAUUGACUAGACAAAGAAUCAUGAAGAGAAUCUGGGACGCUCUGCUGGGGCUCCUGUGGGUCCAUGUUUGCUCAGUAGUGACAGGGAUGAAGGUGGAGCAGAGCCCUUCAGCCCUGAGCCUGCAGGAGGGAGCCAGCUCUAUCCUCAAGUGCAAUUACUCUAGCGCAGUGAACAAUGUGCAAUGGUUUCGACAGAAUCCCGAGGGCGGCAGCCUCACCAGGCUGUUUUACAUAGCUUCAGGGAUGAAGCAGAGCGGGAGGCUAAACUGCACACUGAAUGCUAAGGAACGGUUCAGCACCCUCCAUGUCGCGGCCUCUCAGCUGGAAGACUCAGCCACCUACCUGUGUGCGGUGGAGGCACAGUGCUCCCUGGUGAUCUGCAGCCUGCCCCCAAACCGCAGCUGGGCCUGCAGCACCAGCACUUCCCUGGGGAGGGCAUUUGCCCCCACAGCAGCCUGUGCAUUUUACAAUUUCAGCUUUCUCUUACAAUACUUUUUUCCUCCUAAUAUUAGGUGCAUCAGUGCUGUUGUUUCACUUACUUUCCUUGCCCUUUUUCAUCCCAGAAAAUUCUUUGUAGGUAAAAACCUCUAUGAAGGAGCUUGA